This 264-nucleotide long non-coding RNA is filed under the name Hordeum vulgare. Its description in RNAcentral is "long non-coding RNA (HVUL_LNC017235)". The record is from RNAcentral. Lineage: Eukaryota; Viridiplantae; Streptophyta; Magnoliopsida; Poales; Poaceae.
GAGCGGAGUCUUCCCACGGCCCAUGGAUGCCGUGGUAAAAAUCUGAGGCCGUUUCGGAUAUGCCUUCACAGACGCUUAAUGCAGACAAGACCUUGUCCAGAGAAUUGAGCUUUUGAGCAGCGAUGCGUCCGGUUUGUGAAGGGGUUGCGUGGCUCGUUCUUCCGUUGACCUCAAAACUUAUUUUGCGCUCGUGAGCUUCCAUUCGAAGGCACGUGUCAGGUCCUGGGCUUUUUCGGGGGCCACCAGCUAUAUUCUGUGAAUUUC